GCAAGUCGAGGGGUAACGGGGAAGCUUGCUUCCGCCGACGACCGGCGCACGGGUGCGCACCGCGUAUGGAACCUACCUUUUACAGGGGAAUAGCCCAGGGAAACUUGGAUUAAUGCCCCGUAGUACCGUCUAACAGCAUUGUUUAACGGUUAAAGCCUUCGGGCGGUAAAAGAUGGCCAUGCGUCCCAUUAGUUCGUUGGUAAGGUAACGGCUUACCAAGACUACGAUGGGUAGGGGCCCUGAGAGGGGGAUC
RNAcentral lists this ribosomal RNA (253 nucleotides) under uncultured bacterium. RNAcentral describes it as "partial 16S ribosomal RNA". It matches the Rfam family "Bacterial small subunit ribosomal RNA", at positions 57 to 305 of the family's 1533-position model. The record is from RNAcentral.